UUGCCAAGGUCCAGGACAGUGCCUGUGU
This 28-nucleotide non-coding RNA is filed under the name Mus musculus (house mouse). Lineage: Eukaryota; Metazoa; Chordata; Mammalia; Rodentia; Muridae. The record is from RNAcentral.